AUAUUGGCGAGAGACCGAUAGCGAACAAGUACCGUGAGGCAAAGAUGAAAAGCACUUUGGAAAGAGAGUUAAACAGUACGUGAAAUUGUUAAAAGGGAAACGAUUGAAGUCAGUCGUGUCUGGGAGGCUCAGCCGGUUCUGCCGGUGUAUUCCUCUCAGACGGGUCAACAUCAGUUUUGUCCGACGGAUAAUGGCGGCGGGAAAGUAGCACCUCCGGGUGUGUUAUAGCCCGCUGUCGCAUACGCCGGAUGAGACUGAGGCAUGCAGCUCGCCUUUAUGGCAGGGGUUCGCCCACUUUCGAGCUUAGGAUGUUGACGUAAUGGCUUUAAACGACCCGUCUUGAAACACGGACC
RNAcentral lists this ribosomal RNA (353 nucleotides) under uncultured fungus. RNAcentral describes it as "LSU rRNA". It matches the Rfam family "Eukaryotic large subunit ribosomal RNA", at positions 320 to 667 of the family's 3401-position model. The record is from RNAcentral. Lineage: Eukaryota; Fungi.